RNAcentral lists this ribosomal RNA (468 nucleotides) under uncultured bacterium. RNAcentral describes it as "partial 16S ribosomal RNA". It matches the Rfam family "Bacterial small subunit ribosomal RNA", at positions 28 to 507 of the family's 1533-position model. The record is from RNAcentral.
GACGAACGCUGGCGGCGUGCUUAACACAUGCAAGUCGAACGGAAAGGCCCUGCUUUUGUGGGGUGCUCGAGUGGCGAACGGGUGAGUAACACGUGAGUAACCUGCCCUUGACUUUGGGAUAACUUCAGGAAACUGGGGCUAAUACCGGAUAGGAGCUCCUGCUGCAUGGUGGGGGUUGGAAAGUUUCGGCGGUUUGGGAUGGACUCGCGGCUUAUCAGCUUGUUGGUGGGGUAGUGGCUUACCAAGGCUUUGACGGGUAGCCGGCCUGAGAGGGUUGCCGGCGACCUUGGGACUGAGAUACGGCCCAGACUCCUACGGGAGGCAGCAGGGGGGAAUCUUGCGGAAUGGGCCGAAGCCUGAUGCAGCAACGCUGGGUGCGGGAUGACGGCCUUCGGGGUGUAAACCGCUUUCGCAUGUGACGAAGCGUGAGUGACGGUAAUGGGUAAAGAAGCACCGGCUAACUACGUG